UACGUAGGGGGCAAGCGUUGUUCGGAAUUACUGGGCGUAAAGGGCUCGUAGGCGGCCAACUAAGUCAGACGUGAAAUCCCUCGGCUUAACCGGGGAACUGCGCCUGAUACUGGAUGGCUUGAGUUUGGGAGAGGGAUGCGGAAUUCCAGGUGUAGCGGUGAAAUGCGUAGAUAUCUGGAGGAACACCGGUGGCGAAGGCGGCAUCCUGGACCAACACUGACGCUGAGUGAGCGAAAGCCAGGGGAGCAAACGGG
RNAcentral lists this ribosomal RNA (254 nucleotides) under uncultured bacterium. Its description in RNAcentral is "partial 16S ribosomal RNA". It matches the Rfam family "Bacterial small subunit ribosomal RNA", at positions 524 to 776 of the family's 1533-position model. The record is from RNAcentral.